RNAcentral lists this transfer RNA (74 nucleotides) under Pedosphaera sp. RNAcentral describes it as "tRNA-Glu". It matches the Rfam family "tRNA". From Rfam's summary of the family: Transfer RNA (tRNA) molecules are approximately 80 nucleotides in length. Their secondary structure includes four short double-helical elements and three loops (D, anti-codon, and T loops). The record is from RNAcentral. Lineage: Bacteria; Pseudomonadati; Verrucomicrobiota; Pedosphaerae; Pedosphaerales; Pedosphaeraceae.
GGCGUGCUCGUCUAUCGGCAGGACACGGCCCUCUCAAGGCUGAAAGACGGGUUCAAUUCCCGUGCGCGCUACCA